Molecule: ribosomal RNA, 254 nt
Filed under: uncultured bacterium
Lineage: Bacteria
Description: partial 16S ribosomal RNA
Rfam family: Bacterial small subunit ribosomal RNA
Source: RNAcentral
UACGGAGGGGGCUAGCGUUGUUCGGAAUUACUGGGCGUAAAGCGCGCGUAGGCGGACCUGCAAGUCGGGGGUGAAAGCCCGAGGCUCAACCUCGGAACUGCCUUCGAUACUGCGGGUCUCGAGUCCGGGAGAGGUGAGUGGAAUUCCUAGUGUAGAGGUGAAAUUCGUAGAUAUUAGGAAGAACACCAGUGGCGAAGGCGGCUCACUGGCCCGGUACUGACGCUGAGGUGCGAAAGCGUGGGGAGCAAACAGGG